RNAcentral lists this long non-coding RNA (382 nucleotides) under Pan troglodytes (chimpanzee). RNAcentral describes it as "long non-coding RNA NONPTRT008851". The record is from RNAcentral. Lineage: Eukaryota; Metazoa; Chordata; Mammalia; Primates; Hominidae.
AAUCCUAUGUGGCAUCCUGAUAAGAAGAGGAGAUGAUACAUGAGGAGUCACAGAGAAGAAGCCCAUAUAAUGGCGGAGGCCGAGAUUGGGGUGAUACAGCUGCAAGCCAGGGAAUGCCAAGGACUGCCAGGAGCCACAGAAGCUAGGAAGAGGCAAGGAAGGAUUCUUCGCUGGAGCCUAUUUCACUCAUGAGUGAUUACCUAUGUCCAUAUGUCUACUGCCUGUCCUAAAUUGAACAGUUUUGUCCACUUAAAACAAGCAAACUUCCACUGAUAGGUAAAUGUUCCAACUUUACUGUAGCUUGCAGCAGUGCCUCUGUUAAGUGGAAUUCUAUUUCUGCCACAGCAUCAAUAAGCUUUCCUGUGUAUGUCCCAUAUAAGGA